Molecule: ribosomal RNA, 377 nt
Filed under: uncultured bacterium
Lineage: Bacteria
Description: bacterial SSU rRNA
Rfam family: Bacterial small subunit ribosomal RNA
Source: RNAcentral
UAAUACGUAGGGGGCAAGCGUUGUCCGGAUUUAUUGGGCGUAAAGAGCGUGUAGGCGGCCGUGUAGGUCUGACGUGAAAUCUGGAGGCUCAACCUCCAGCUGUCGUUGGAAACCGCUCGGCUAGAGUCCGGAAGAGGAGAGUGGAAUUCCUGGUGUAGCGGUGAAAUGCGCAGAUAUCAGGAAGAACACCUAUGGCGAAGGCAGCUCUCUGGGACGGUACUGACGCUGAGACGCGAAAGCGUGGGGAGCGAACAGGAUUAGAUACCCUGGUAGUCCACGCCGUAAACGAUGGGUGCUAGGUGUGGGCGGUGUCGACUCCGUCCGUGCCGAAGCUAACGCAUUAAGCACCCCGCCUGGGGAGUACGGCCGCAAGGCUA